GGGAGAGUUCCCGAGUGGUUAAAGGGGGCAGACUGUAAAUCUGUUAGCAUCGCUUUCGUAGGUUCGAAUCCUUCCUCUCCCA
This 82-nucleotide transfer RNA is filed under the name Clostridiales bacterium. Its description in RNAcentral is "tRNA-Tyr". It matches the Rfam family "tRNA". From Rfam's summary of the family: Transfer RNA (tRNA) molecules are approximately 80 nucleotides in length. Their secondary structure includes four short double-helical elements and three loops (D, anti-codon, and T loops). Lineage: Bacteria; Bacillati; Bacillota; Clostridia; Eubacteriales. The record is from RNAcentral.